CGUCCGUCGUGAAGAGGGAAACAACCCAGACCGCCAGCUAAGGUCCCAAAGUCAUGGUUAAGUGGGAAACGAUGUGGGAAGGCCCAGACAGCCAGGAUGUUGGCUUAGAAGCAGCCAUCAUUUAAAGAAAGCGUAAUAGCUCACUGGUCGAGUCGGCCUGCGCGGAAGAUGUAACGGGGCUAAACCAUGCACCGAAGCUGCGGCAGCGACACUAUGUGUUGUUGGGUAGGGGAGCGUUCUGUAAGCCUGUGAAGGUGGCCUGUGAGGGUUGCUGGAGGUAUCAGAAGUGCGAAUGCUGACAUAAGUAACGAUAAAGCGGGUGAAAAGCCCGCUCGCCGGAAGACCAAGGGUUCCUGUCCAACGUUAAUCGGGGCAGGGUGAGUCGACCCCUAAGGCGAGGCCGAAAGGCGUAGUCGAUGGGAAACAGGUUAAUAUUCCUGUACUUGGUGUUACUGCGAAGGGGGGACGGAGAAGGCUAUGUUGGCCGGGCGACGGUUGUCCCGGUUUAAGCGUGUAGGCUGGUUUUCCAGGCAAAUCCGGAAAACCAAGGCUGAGGCGUGAUGACGAGGCACUACGGUGCUGAAGCGACAAAUGCCCUGCUUCCAGGAAAAGCCUCUAAGCAUCAGGUAACAUCAAAUCGUACCCCAAACCGACACAGGUGGUCAGGUAGAGAAUACCAAGGCGCUUGAGAGAACUCGGGUGAAGGAACUAGGCAAAAUGGUGCCGUAACUUCGGGAGAAGGCACGCUGAUAUGUAGGUGAAGCGACUUGCUCGUGGAGCUGAAAUCAGUCGAAGAUACCAGCUGGCUGCAACUGUUUAUUAAAAACACAGCACUGUGCAAACACGAAAGUGGACGUAUACGGUGUGACGCCUGCCC
This 877-nucleotide ribosomal RNA is filed under the name Escherichia coli. Its description in RNAcentral is "partial 23S ribosomal RNA". It matches the Rfam family "Bacterial large subunit ribosomal RNA", at positions 1002 to 1864 of the family's 2925-position model. Lineage: Bacteria; Pseudomonadati; Pseudomonadota; Gammaproteobacteria; Enterobacterales; Enterobacteriaceae. The record is from RNAcentral.